This 474-nucleotide ribosomal RNA is filed under the name uncultured bacterium. RNAcentral describes it as "bacterial SSU rRNA". It matches the Rfam family "Bacterial small subunit ribosomal RNA", at positions 335 to 796 of the family's 1533-position model. The record is from RNAcentral.
ACUCCUACGGGAGGCAGCAGUAGGGAAUCUUCCACAAUGGACGAAAGUACUGAUGGAGCAACGCCGCGUGAGUGAAGAAGGGUUUCGGCUCGUAAAACUACUGUUGUUAAAGAAGAACAUAUCUGAGAGUAACUGUUCAGGUAUUGACGGUAUUUAACCAGAAAGCCACGGCUAACUACGUGCCAGCAGCCGCGGUAAUACGUAGGUGGCAAGCGUUGUCCGGAUUUAUUGGGCGUAAAGCGAGCGCAGGCGGUUUUUAAGUCUGAUGUGAAAGCCUUCGGCUCAACCGAAGAAGUGCAUCGGAAACUGGGAAACUUGAGUGCAGAAGAGGACAGUGGAACUCCAUGUGUAGCGGUGAAAUGCGUAGAUAUAUGGAAAAACACCAGUGGCGAAGGCGGCUGUCUGGUCUGUAACUGACGCUGAGGCUCGAAAGUAUGGGUAGCAAACAGGAUUAGAUACCCUGGUAGGAUAGCC